Molecule: ribosomal RNA, 604 nt
Filed under: Ochrobactrum sp. ORS 1478
Lineage: Bacteria; Pseudomonadati; Pseudomonadota; Alphaproteobacteria; Hyphomicrobiales; Brucellaceae
Description: bacterial SSU rRNA
Rfam family: Bacterial small subunit ribosomal RNA
Source: RNAcentral
UACGAACGCUGGCGGCAGGCUUAACACAUGCAAGUCGAGCGCGUAGCAAUACGAGCGGCAGACGGGUGAGUAACGCGUGGGAAUCUACCCCUUACUACGGAAUAACGCAGGGAAACUUGUGCUAAUACCGUAUGUGACCGGAAGGUGAAAGAUUUAUCGGUAAGGGAUGAGCCCGCGUUGGAUUAGCUAGUUGGUGGGGUAAAGGCCUACCAAGGCGACGAUCCAUAGCUGGUCUGAGAGGAUGAUCAGCCACACUGGGACUGAGACACGGCCCAGACUCCUACGGGAGGCAGCAGUGGGGAAUAUUGGACAAUGGGCGCAAGCCUGAUCCAGCCAUGCCGCGUGAGUGAUGAAGGCCCUAGGGUUGUAAAGCUCUUUCACCGGUGAAGAUAAUGACGGUAACCGGAGAAGNAAGCCCCGGCUAACUUCGUGCCAGCAGCCGCGGUAAUACGAAGGGGGCUAGCGUUGUUCGGAUUUACUGGGCGUAAAGCGCACGUAGGCGGACUAUUAAGUCAGGGGUGAAAUCCCGGGGCUCAACCCGGAACUGCCUUUGAUACUGGUAGUCUUACGNAGUUCGAGAGAGGUGAGUGGAAUUCCGAGUGUA